GGGGCUGUAGCUCAGUUGGGAGAGCGUAUCGUUCGCAACGAUGAGGUCGCGGGUUCGAUCCCCGUCAGCUCCACCA
RNAcentral lists this transfer RNA (76 nucleotides) under Bacillota bacterium. RNAcentral describes it as "tRNA-Ala". It matches the Rfam family "tRNA". Rfam says of the family: Transfer RNA (tRNA) molecules are approximately 80 nucleotides in length. Their secondary structure includes four short double-helical elements and three loops (D, anti-codon, and T loops). The record is from RNAcentral. Lineage: Bacteria; Bacillati; Bacillota.